GACGAACGCUGGCGGCGCGCUUAACACAUGCAAGUCGAACGGAAAGGCCUGCUUUCCCUUGUGGAUUGCGGGUACUCGAGUGGCGAACGGGUGAGUAACACGUGAGUGAUCUGCCCCCAACUUGGGUAUAAGCCUGGGAAACUGGGUCUAAUUCCCGAUAGGACUGCAGGGUGGUGCCUGUGGUGGAAAACGAUUUUCUAGUGGUUGGGGAUGAGCUCGCGGCCUAUCAGCUUGUUGGUGGGGUAAUGGCCUACCAAGGCGGCGACGGGUAGCCGGCCUGAGAUGGUGGACGGCCACAUUGGGACUGAGAUACGGCCCAGACGCCUACGGGAGGCAGCAGUGGGGAAUAUUGCACAAUGGGCGGAAGCCUGAUGCAGCGACGCCGCGUGGGGGAUGACGGGCUUCGGGUGGUAAACUCCUUUCGACCGCGAGGAAGCCACCUGGUUGGAAGGGUGGUGACGGUAGUGGUAGAAGAAGCACCGGCUAACUACGUG
RNAcentral lists this ribosomal RNA (494 nucleotides) under uncultured bacterium. RNAcentral's name for it is "partial 16S ribosomal RNA". It matches the Rfam family "Bacterial small subunit ribosomal RNA", at positions 28 to 507 of the family's 1533-position model. The record is from RNAcentral.